GACGAACGCUAGCGGCGUGCCUAAGGUAUGCAAGUCGAACGGGGGCUUCGGCCCCACGUGGCGCACGGUCGAGUAACACGUAGACAACCUGCCUUCCAGUGGGGGACGAACUCCGGGAAACUGGGGCGUAAUACCGCAUGGGGCGCGAGGGGGAAGUCCUCUCGAUGCUAAAGCUCGCAAGGGCGCUGGGAGAUGGGUCGUGCGGCCUAUCAGCUAGCUGGUGAGGUAACGGCUCACCAGGGCGACGACGGGUAGCGGGUCUGAGAGGAUGAUCCGCCGGACGGGGACGUGA
This 292-nucleotide ribosomal RNA is filed under the name uncultured bacterium. RNAcentral describes it as "partial 16S ribosomal RNA". It matches the Rfam family "Bacterial small subunit ribosomal RNA", at positions 28 to 322 of the family's 1533-position model. The record is from RNAcentral.